GACGAACGCUGGCGGCGUGCUUAACACAUGCAAGUCGAGCGAGGCCCCUCCUUCGGGAGGGUGUCCUAGCGGCGAACGGGUGAGUAACACGUGGGCAACCUGCCCUCAGCUCUGGGAUAACUCCGGGAAACCGGGGCUAAUACCGGAUACGACCUCCACGGGCAUCUGCGGAGGUGGAAAGUUUUUCGGCUGAGGAUGGGCCCGCGGCCUAUCAGCUAGUUGGUGGGGUAGUGGCCCACCAAGGCGACGACGGGUAGCCGGCCUGAGAGGGCGACCGGCCACACUGGGCCUGAGACACGGCCCUGACUCCUACGGGAGGCAGCAGUGGGGAAUAUUGCGCAAUGGGCGAAAGCCUGACGCAGCGACGCCGCGUGAGGGACGAAGGCCUUCGGGUUGUAAACCUCUUUCAGCAGGGACGAAGCGAAAGUGACGGUACCUGCAGAAGAAGCACCGGCCAACUACGUG
Molecule: ribosomal RNA, 465 nt
Filed under: uncultured bacterium
Lineage: Bacteria
Description: partial 16S ribosomal RNA
Rfam family: Bacterial small subunit ribosomal RNA
Source: RNAcentral